UCGGGAAUUUUGGGCAAUGGGCGAAAGCCUGACCCAGCAACGCCGCGUGAAGGAUGAAGUAUUUCGGUAUGUAAACUUCGAAAGAAUAGGAAGAAUAAAUGACGGUACUAUUUGUAAGGUCCGGCUAACUACGUGCCAGCAGCCGCGGUAAUACGUAGGGACCAAGCGUUGUUCGGAUUUACUGGGCGUAAAGGGCGCGUAGGCGGUGUGUCAAGUCAGUUGUGAAAUCUCCGAGCUUAACUCGGAACGGUCAACUGAUACUGUCACACUAGAGUACAGAAGGGGCAAUCGGAAUUCUUGGUGUAGAGGUGAAAUUCGUAGAUAUUAGGAAGAACACCAGUGGCGAAGGCGGCCAACUGGCUCGAUACUGACGCUGAGGUGCGAAAGCGUGGGGAGCAAACAGGAUUAGAUACCCAAGUAGUCCCUGAGCGGGCUGGCAAGGCGCAU
Molecule: ribosomal RNA, 447 nt
Filed under: uncultured bacterium
Lineage: Bacteria
Description: bacterial SSU rRNA
Rfam family: Bacterial small subunit ribosomal RNA
Source: RNAcentral